This 911-nucleotide ribosomal RNA is filed under the name uncultured marine group I thaumarchaeote. Its description in RNAcentral is "bacterial SSU rRNA". It matches the Rfam family "Archaeal small subunit ribosomal RNA", at positions 5 to 922 of the family's 1478-position model. The record is from RNAcentral. Lineage: Archaea; Thermoproteati; Nitrososphaerota.
UGGUUGAUCCUGCCAGACCUGACUGCUAUCGGAUUGAUACUAAGCCAUGCGAGUCAUUGUAGCAAUACAAGGCAUACGGCUCAGUAACGCGUAGUCAACCUAACCUAUGGACGGGAAUAACCUCGGGAAACUGAGAAUAAUGCCCGAUAGAACAUUAUGCCUGGAAUGGUUUAUGUUCCAAAUGAUUUAUCGCCGUAGGAUGGGACUGCGGCCUAUCAGUUUGUUGGUGAGGUAAUGGCCCACCAAGACUAUUACAGGCACGGGCUCUGAGAGGAGUAGCCCGGAGAUGGGUACUGAGACACGGACCCAGGCCCUAUGGGGCGCAGCAGGCGAGAAAACUUUGCAAUGUGCGAAAGCACGACAAGGUUAAUCCGAGUGGUUUCUGCUAAAGAAACCUUUUGUCAGUCCUAGAAACACUGAUGAAUAAGGGGUGGGCAAGUUCUGGUGUCAGCCGCCGCGGUAAAACCAGCACCUCAAGUGGUCAGGAUGAUUAUUGGGCCUAAAGCAUCCGUAGCCGGCUCUGUAAGUUUUCGGUUAAAUCUGUACGCUCAACGUACAGGCUGCCGGGAAUACUGCAGAGCUAGGGAGUGGGAGAGGUAGACGGUACUCGGUAGGAAGGGGUAAAAUCCUUUGAUCUAUUGAUGACCACCUGUGGCGAAGGCGGUCUACCAGAACACGUCCGACGGUGAGGGAUGAAAGCUGGGGGAGCAAACCGGAUUAGAUACCCGGGUAGUCCCAGCUGUAAACUAUGCAAACUCAGUGAUGCAUUGGCUUGUGGCCAAUGCAGUGCUGCAGGGGAAGCCGUUAAGUUUGCCGCCUGGGAAGUACGUACGCAAGUAUGAAACUUAAAGGAAUUGGCGGGGGAGCACCACAAGGGGUGAAGCCUGCGGUCAAUUGGAUUCAACGCCGGA